CUACUACCCCCUCCGUCUGAAAUUAUUUGUCGCGGAAAUGGAUGUAUAUAAACGUAUUUUAGUUCCAGAUACAUGCAUUUGUAUCCAUUUCCGCGACAAGUAAUUCGGGACGGAGGGAGUACUAU
Molecule: non-coding RNA, 125 nt
Organism: Triticum aestivum (bread wheat)
Lineage: Eukaryota; Viridiplantae; Streptophyta; Magnoliopsida; Poales; Poaceae
Source: Rfam